RNAcentral lists this ribosomal RNA (417 nucleotides) under Triticum aestivum (bread wheat). RNAcentral describes it as "partial small subunit ribosomal RNA". Lineage: Eukaryota; Viridiplantae; Streptophyta; Magnoliopsida; Poales; Poaceae. The record is from RNAcentral.
AUGCCCAAUGGGGCACAAGCCUCGGCUGAGGAAGGCGAGGCGAGCGGGGGCGAGGCGAGCGGGGGCGAGGCGAGCGGGGGCGAGAGCCAGGAAGAGGAGGAGUGGGACUCGGAUGCCGCAGGGGGUGAUGACGACGAUGAUGAUGAUGAAGAUGAUGAAGAUGACAUCGAGGACGAGGAAGAAGAGGAAGAGGAGGAGGUCAUUCCACCGCGCUCAGAAAGGCGGUCGAAGCUUGUCCACGACCCUUCGACCGAACGUGGCAAGGGGGUUGCGACCGCCACCCAGUCGACCAAGCGCCCCCGGACCACCUCUCCAGCGCCGACUGAAAAGGCGCCGAAGCAGCCCAGGGCGGCCUCAUCGAAGCCGACCAAGCUCCUGCCGAAGAUGAAGGUGUCCAUCCCCACCAUUUCAAGGUAA